RNAcentral lists this ribosomal RNA (1477 nucleotides) under Vibrio antiquarius. RNAcentral describes it as "16S ribosomal RNA". It matches the Rfam family "Bacterial small subunit ribosomal RNA". The record is from RNAcentral. Lineage: Bacteria; Pseudomonadati; Pseudomonadota; Gammaproteobacteria; Vibrionales; Vibrionaceae.
AUUGAACGCUGGCGGCAGGCCUAACACAUGCAAGUCGAGCGGAAACGAGUUAUCUGAACCUUCGGGGAACGAUAACGGCGUCGAGCGGCGGACGGGUGAGUAAUGCCUAGGAAAUUGCCCUGAUGUGGGGGAUAACCAUUGGAAACGAUGGCUAAUACCGCAUGAUGCCUACGGGCCAAAGAGGGGGACCUUCGGGCCUCUCGCGUCAGGAUAUGCCUAGGUGGGAUUAGCUAGUUGGUGAGGUAAGGGCUCACCAAGGCGACGAUCCCUAGCUGGUCUGAGAGGAUGAUCAGCCACACUGGAACUGAGACACGGUCCAGACUCCUACGGGAGGCAGCAGUGGGGAAUAUUGCACAAUGGGCGCAAGCCUGAUGCAGCCAUGCCGCGUGUGUGAAGAAGGCCUUCGGGUUGUAAAGCACUUUCAGUCGUGAGGAAGGCAGUGUAGUUAAUAGCGGCGUUGUUUGACGUUAGCGACAGAAGAAGCACCGGCUAACUCCGUGCCAGCAGCCGCGGUAAUACGGAGGGUGCGAGCGUUAAUCGGAAUUACUGGGCGUAAAGCGCAUGCAGGUGGUUUGUUAAGUCAGAUGUGAAAGCCCGGGGCUCAACCUCGGAAUAGCAUUUGAAACUGGCAGACUAGAGUACUGUAGAGGGGGGUAGAAUUUCAGGUGUAGCGGUGAAAUGCGUAGAGAUCUGAAGGAAUACCGGUGGCGAAGGCGGCCCCCUGGACAGAUACUGACACUCAGAUGCGAAAGCGUGGGGAGCAAACAGGAUUAGAUACCCUGGGUAGUCCACGCCGUAAACGAUGUCUACUUGGAGGUUGUGGCCUUGAGCCGUGGCUUUCGGAGCUAACGCGUUAAGUAGACCGCCUGGGGAGUACGGUCGCAAGAUUAAAACUCAAAUGAAUUGACGGGGGCCCGCACAAGCGGUGGAGCAUGUGGUUUAAUUCGAUGCAACGCGAAGAACCUUACCUACUCUUGACAUCCAGAGAACUUUCCAGAGAUGGAUUGGUGCCUUCGGGAACUCUGAGACAGGUGCUGCAUGGCUGUCGUCAGCUCGUGUUGUGAAAUGUUGGGUUAAGUCCCGCAACGAGCGCAACCCUUAUCCUUGUUUGCCAGCGAGUAAUGUCGGGAACUCCAGGGAGACUGCCGGUGAUAAACCGGAGGAAGGUGGGGACGACGUCAAGUCAUCAUGGCCCUUACGAGUAGGGCUACACACGUGCUACAAUGGCGCAUACAGAGGGCGGCCAACUUGCGAAAGUGAGCGAAUCCCAAAAAGUGCGUCGUAGUCCGGAUUGGAGUCUGCAACUCGACUCCAUGAAGUCGGAAUCGCUAGUAAUCGUGGAUCAGAAUGCCACGGUGAAUACGUUCCCGGGCCUUGUACACACCGCCCGUCACACCAUGGGAGUGGGCUGCAAAAGAAGUAGGUAGUUUAACCUUCGGGGGGACGCUUACCACUUUGUGGUUCAUGACUGGGGUGA